Molecule: ribosomal RNA, 253 nt
Filed under: uncultured bacterium
Lineage: Bacteria
Description: partial 16S ribosomal RNA
Rfam family: Bacterial small subunit ribosomal RNA
Source: RNAcentral
UACGGAGGGUGCAAGCGUUAAUCGGAAUUACUGGGCGUAAAGCGCACGCAGGUGGCUGAGUCAGUCGAUUGUGAAAGCCCUGGGCUUAACCUGGGAAUUGCAGUCGAUACUACUCGGCUCGAGUAUGGGAGAGGGCAGUGGAAUUCCCGGUGUAGCGGUGAAAUGCGCAGAUAUCGGGAGGAACACCUAUGGCGAAGGCAGCUCGCUGGGACGUUACUGACGCUGAGACGCGAAAGCGUGGGGAGCAAACAGG